This 269-nucleotide ribosomal RNA is filed under the name uncultured prokaryote. RNAcentral describes it as "partial 16S ribosomal RNA". It matches the Rfam family "Bacterial small subunit ribosomal RNA", at positions 524 to 792 of the family's 1533-position model. The record is from RNAcentral.
GACGAACGGGGCAAGCGUUGUUCGGAUUUACUGGGCGUAAAGGGGGUCUAGGUGGUCAGAUAAGUCUUCUGUGAAAACCCGGGGCUCAACUUCGGGACUGCAGGGGAAACUGCCUGACUUGAGUAUGUGAGAUGCGUGCGGAAUACUGGGUGUAGCGGUGAAAUGCGUAGAUAUCCAGUAGAACACCUGUGGCGAAAGCGGCCCGCAAGCACAUUACUGACACUGAAGCCCGAAAGCGUGGGGAGCGAACAGGAUUAGAUACCCCCGUA